RNAcentral lists this transfer RNA (72 nucleotides) under Ictidomys tridecemlineatus (thirteen-lined ground squirrel). RNAcentral's name for it is "Spermophilus tridecemlineatus (thirteen-lined ground squirrel) tRNA". It matches the Rfam family "tRNA". From Rfam's summary of the family: Transfer RNA (tRNA) molecules are approximately 80 nucleotides in length. Their secondary structure includes four short double-helical elements and three loops (D, anti-codon, and T loops). The record is from Rfam by way of RNAcentral. Lineage: Eukaryota; Metazoa; Chordata; Mammalia; Rodentia; Sciuridae.
GGGGGUGUGUCCUGGUGGUAAAGUGCUUGCCUACCAUGUAUGAGGCCCUGGGUUCUGUUCCCAGCACCCUCC